AUCUUGUAGAUUCACACUUUGUUAAAUGUAAAGCCACAGGAAAUGUGUUUUUAGAAGUAUGUGAUGAAAGCAUCCAAGCAGCAGUGACUGCGCCACUGACAAGAACAAACUCAGACAGCAGGUUUCACUCUUCAUAAUUUGGGAAAGAGUUACGGAACUGCAAAGAAAUGGAAAAUGAGCAUGAAGUUUUUGUAGGUUAUUUAUGGUUUCGUUACUUCCUGUUCUCCAUCUGGAUUUUGGACGUUGUACUGAUUUGGAUUAUAACGUACCUGGAAAUGAACUUGAUCAGGAAAAUCAGAAACGUGUGUCGCAUCUCUAGAUGCCGCUGUCACAAACUUCAUUUCCCAGAAUCCAGACUUUAAUGACCUACAAACUCCACCACCAUGACAUGUUCUAAUGAAAGUCUAUGAAAUUUAUGAAAACAUAAAUUUAUGUUUAUUGGCUUGCUUCUCUUGUUUGAUCACUGUUUGUUUCAUUUCUUUGAUUAUUAUUCUGUCUAUCUGUUGUUUCAUUGCUGAACUCCUGAUUACAUUAUUGAAUUUUCCUUUUUGUUUUGUCUGCUGUUGGUCUUUUAAUAAA
This is a long non-coding RNA of Pangasianodon hypophthalmus (striped catfish), 579 nucleotides long. RefSeq lists it as uncharacterized. The transcript has 4 exons. NCBI's taxonomy places the organism in Eukaryota, Metazoa, Chordata, Actinopteri, Siluriformes, Pangasiidae. The record is from RefSeq and is a predicted model, not a curated record.